Molecule: ribosomal RNA, 256 nt
Filed under: uncultured bacterium
Lineage: Bacteria
Description: partial 16S ribosomal RNA
Rfam family: Bacterial small subunit ribosomal RNA
Source: RNAcentral
GUGGCCUACGGGACGCAGCAGUGGGGAAUAUUGCACAAUGGGGGAAACCCUGAUGCAGCGACGCCGCGUGAGUGAAGAAGUAUUUCGGUAUGUAAACCUCUAUCAGCAGGGAAGAAGAAAGACGGUACCUGACUAAGAAGCCCCGGCUAACUACGUGCCAGCAGCCGCGGUAAUACGUAGGGGGCAAGCGUUAUCCGGAUUUACUGGGUGUAAAGGGAGCGUAGACGGAGAAGCGAGUCUGAAGUGAAAGCCCGUG